AGGGCCUCCGGUUGCAGAAGACCAACUGCAGUCUGGACGCGAUGGGAGGGACCUGCCCAGUCAAAGUCUACGAGCGCCACUUCCCGCCUCAGCGACCACAGCAAAUAGCAAGCCGAUACCCCUGGAUAGCAACGUUAGCGAAGAGUAUAAUCGAUGGUUCUCGUUUUUUCAGCGUCCACGGCUUCAUCCAUCUAGGGGCUAAACCACGACGCAAGAAGGUGGAUGAGCUCUUACAAACCAACAACCUCACUGACGUACAACGGCUACUGACAAUUCCAGGCCGGUUGCUGUUCACCACCGUAGUAAUGAUAACAUCUUCACUAAUAAAUGCCGACUAUUUGCUACGAUAUCUGUCGCUCUUUCAAUAAUACGAGUAAUAACAGCACCAUAUGCAGAAA
Molecule: long non-coding RNA, 398 nt
Filed under: Schistocerca americana (American grasshopper)
Lineage: Eukaryota; Metazoa; Arthropoda; Insecta; Orthoptera; Acrididae
Description: uncharacterized LOC124625763
Source: RNAcentral